Molecule: ribosomal RNA, 254 nt
Filed under: uncultured bacterium
Lineage: Bacteria
Description: partial 16S ribosomal RNA
Rfam family: Bacterial small subunit ribosomal RNA
Source: RNAcentral
UACGAAGGGGGGCUAGCGUUGCUCGGAAUCACUGGGCGUAAAGCGCACGUAGGCGGACUCUUAAGUCGGUGGUGAAAUCCUGGAGCUCAACUCCAGAACUGCCUUUGAUACUGAGAAUCUUGAGUAUGGGAGAGGUGAGUGGAACUGCGAGUGUAGAGGUGAAAUUCGUAGAUAUUCGCAAGAACACCAGUGGCGAAGGCGGCUCACUGGCCCAUAACUGACGCUGAGGCACGAAAGCGUGGGGAGCAAACAGG